UCGGUUUUUAGUCGGUUAUUUC
This 22-nucleotide non-coding RNA is filed under the name Arabidopsis thaliana (thale cress). Lineage: Eukaryota; Viridiplantae; Streptophyta; Magnoliopsida; Brassicales; Brassicaceae. The record is from RNAcentral.